CCUACGGGUGGCAGCAGUGGGGAAUAUUGCACAAUGGGGGAAACCCUGAUGCAGCGACGCCGCGUGAAGGAUGAAGUAUUUCGGUAUGUAAACUUCUAUCAGCAGGGAAGAAAAUGACGGUACCUGACUAAGAAGCCCCGGCUAACUACGUGCCAGCAUCCGCGGUAAUACGUAGGGGGCAAGCGUUAUCCGGAUUUACUGGGUGUAAAGGGAGCGUAGACGGUAUGGCAAGUCUGAUGUGAAAACCCGGGGCUCAACCCCGGGAAUGCAUUGGAAACUGCCGAACUAGAGUUUCGGAGAGGCAAGGGGAAUUCGUAGUGUAGCGGUGAAAUGCGUAGAUAUUAGGAGGAACACCAGUGGCGAAGGCGGCUUGCUAGAC
RNAcentral lists this ribosomal RNA (379 nucleotides) under uncultured bacterium. RNAcentral's name for it is "partial 16S ribosomal RNA". It matches the Rfam family "Bacterial small subunit ribosomal RNA", at positions 338 to 734 of the family's 1533-position model. The record is from RNAcentral.